GGUAUCGCAAGUCUACCACAGAGAACGAUCUUCAAAGAAUAAACCAAUAAAACCAUGGUGUAAAUGUGGUUAAGCCAAUCAGCCAUGCUAAAUCACUCCAGAUGUGUUUUAUAUAUUUUGUAAACAAUGUACAGUUGUUUAAGACAUGCACCAGCUGAUGCUGUGUUUAAUAGAACGUGUAAGAGUGAUUGUCAUUUACAUCAUUGACGGUGUCUGUCACAAGGCAGAAAAAUAACUGCAGUGGCCAAUGAUAAGAACUGGAACUUCAGUGUAAGAGAGUCCAUUUGGCAAGAAACUACAGUGAAAGAAAGUUCUCCAUGUCUAUCCUCUUUAGUCAGGGCUAGUCAGAGAAAAAAAUGCCCACAUUUGAGCUGUACCAGCAGAAGCUUCUUCCAGUCAGGGCUCAGUGGGAUACACAAGAUGUUUUUUUUCCUUCCCUCCUUCCUCUAGCCUUUCUUCCUGUAAUAUAAAUGCACUUCAUUCUCUUCUGCUGUGGCUGUGCUUAACCUUGCUGCCACAAAAAGAAAAACUGCAUCUUGUCUUGGUUGCCCUGGGAAGCUCUAUAGGCUAGAACAGGGUGAAGUGGUGGAAUUCCCUGCAAGACCCUGAUGCCUGCUGGCUGGCAUGAGAAGGACCUACACAUCUGGGAAAUGGAGUUCCAGGUUCAAUUGCUCUCCACUUUAAAGGAUGGCUGUAUUUCUAAGUGCCUUCCAGGGACUUUUGUGAACAGGAACAGUACAUUGUCCCUCCAGGAUGGAGGGAGUUGUGUUCCUGCCCUGUGACCAUCUCCAAGCCACGUGGCCAGAGAUUAAAAACUACAUGUGCAAGACUAUGGAUGCAUCUAUAAAGAAACAGGAAAAACAAGACCCAUAUGCACAUUCAGAGCAUGAGAAAGGCCCAAGAUGCCUUAACUUCCUACAUGAUCUUAAUUUUCACAAAAAUGUCUCAUUUUGUUCCAAAAACACCCAUUUCAAUAUGAACGCAAAUAAUUCAACUGCCCUUCUGCUGUAGAUUGAAUUGGCUUAAAAGAUAUGUUGCCUUUUGCAUGGACAUAGCUGAGACUGUGCUUCAGUUCUCUGGCUAUUUUUACACUGCCUGUCCUUCAGAAAAGAAGAUCUGACACAGCACAGAAUAUAUAAAAAAGAAGGGUAACAUAGGAUCCAAGUGUAUUAAAUAAAUAAAUACUCUUUGUAGGAGACA
RNAcentral lists this long non-coding RNA (1200 nucleotides) under Anas platyrhynchos platyrhynchos (common mallard). RNAcentral's name for it is "lncRNA (ENSAPLG00000031121.1)". The record is from RNAcentral. Lineage: Eukaryota; Metazoa; Chordata; Aves; Anseriformes; Anatidae.